RNAcentral lists this ribosomal RNA (778 nucleotides) under Corynebacterium variabile. Its description in RNAcentral is "bacterial SSU rRNA". It matches the Rfam family "Bacterial small subunit ribosomal RNA", at positions 79 to 872 of the family's 1533-position model. The record is from RNAcentral. Lineage: Bacteria; Bacillati; Actinomycetota; Actinomycetes; Mycobacteriales; Corynebacteriaceae.
CUUGCAGGGUACUCGAGUGGCGAACGGGUGAGUAACACGUGGGUGAUCUGCCCUGCACUUCGGGAUAAGCCUGGGAAACUGGGUCUAAUACCGGAUAGGACCAUCGUUUAGUGUCGGUGGUGGAAAGUUUUUCGGUGCAGGAUGAGCCCGCGGCCUAUCAGCUUGUUGGUGGGGUAAUGGCCUACCAAGGCGUCGACGGGUAGCCGGCCUGAGAGGGUGGACGGCCACAUUGGGACUGAGACACGGCCCAGACUCCUACGGGAGGCAGCAGUGGGGAAUAUUGCACAAUGGGCGCAAGCCUGAUGCAGCGACGCCGCGUGGGGGAUGAAGGCCUUCGGGUUGUAAACUCCUUUCAGCAGGGACGAAGCUUUUGUGACGGUACCUGCAGAAGAAGCACCGGCUAACUACGUGCCAGCAGCCGCGGUAAUACGUAGGGUGCGAGCGUUGUCCGGAAUUACUGGGCGUAAAGAGCUCGUAGGUGGUUUGUCGCGUCGUCUGUGAAAUUCCGGGGCUUAACUCCGGGCGUGCAGGCGAUACGGGCAUAACUUGAGUGCUGUAGGGGAGACUGGAAUUCCUGGUGUAGCGGUGAAAUGCGCAGAUAUCAGGAGGAACACCGAUGGCGAAGGCAGGUCUCUGGGCAGUUACUGACGCUGAGGAGCGAAAGCAUGGGUAGCGAACAGGAUUAGAUACCCUGGUAGUCCAUGCCGUAAACGGUGGGCGCUACGUGUGGGGGUCUUCCACGACUUCUGUGCCGUAGCUAACGCAUUAAGCGCCCCGC